GUUUUUUCAAAGAAAAACAUGCAUUUCAAGGCGCUAUGGAUUUCAAAGACCAUGGAUUUACUCAGAACUUAUGGGUUUUAAAAAAGGCUUUAAAAGGAAAUAACUAAAAAACUUUUCCAGUAAUUUAAGAUGAUACCGGGGAAGGUUUUCCGGUUUAUCCCGGAGGGCUUGUAGCUCAGUUGGUUAGAGCGCGCGCUUGAUAAGCGUGAGGUCGGAGGUUCAAGUCCUCCCAGGCCCACCAAUUUAUGCUCGUUUUUUGCUUAUCCAAGAGUAUAAAGCUUAAGCGUAUUAAAGCCUCUUCAAUCUUUGUUUAUUUUUAAAGAUUUUAUUUUAUCAUUCAGAGAUUGUUUGUUAAAUUUAUCCCAUUAAGCUUCCAAAGAGGCUUUGUCCCUUCAGUGGUACAGAUAAAUUUACAUGAUACAAAUCAAAACAGGACAGGUAAUUCAAGUUGAUGAAUUUGGUUAUGGUUGAUUUGAGAGAGCAUUAUUUAGGGGCCGUAGCUCAGCUGGGAGAGCACCUGCUUUGCAAGCAGGGGGUCGUCGGUUCGAUCCCGUCCGGCUCCACCAUUUGGUCAUCAUCGUGUUGUGAGAACACGGUUUAGUAAGGGGGGUUAUACCCUUUUGCUUGUUCUAUUGAAAUUGUGAAGAGAAGAUAUAUUCAGACAUGUUCCUUUUUUAAGGUUCCUUCUGAGGUGCAAGUUUUUAG
This 705-nucleotide transfer RNA is filed under the name Bartonella grahamii. RNAcentral describes it as "partial 16S-23S ribosomal RNA intergenic spacer". The stretch from base 165 to 238 matches the Rfam family "tRNA". The record is from RNAcentral. Lineage: Bacteria; Pseudomonadati; Pseudomonadota; Alphaproteobacteria; Hyphomicrobiales; Bartonellaceae.